Molecule: long non-coding RNA, 407 nt
Organism: Calliphora vicina (urban bluebottle blowfly)
Lineage: Eukaryota; Metazoa; Arthropoda; Insecta; Diptera; Calliphoridae
Exons: 2
Source: RefSeq, a predicted model, not a curated record
UUCCUUCCAACCAACUGCAGAAAAUUUGUUAAUACAAAUUCAAACCAAAUCAAAAUGAAAUUGUUAAUUUCCUUAACAUUUCUCCUAGUGAUUCUUACGUCGGGUAUAAUUGCCCAACGUGGUCGUUUUUGUCUCCAAAGGGCUCGUCCUGCCAGAUGUGAUGGUCCACCGGAUAUUGGUUUUGUUUGUCCCGCAGUUCCUCCACGUACAAUGUGGCAUUUUAAUCAGGCAACUCGUACUUGUGUUGAAAUGAUUCAUUUGGGUUGUGGCGGUAAUGCGAAUCGUUGGUGUUCGCGGAUCAUGUGUGAGCUCAAAUGUGUGCGACUUAUUGGUUAGAAAAAUACUAAUAUUUUGUUAAAGAAAAUCAAAUAAAAUUAUGACCAGCAAUAUUUUACCAAAUUAAAUAA